Molecule: long non-coding RNA, 233 nt
Filed under: Brassica rapa (field mustard)
Lineage: Eukaryota; Viridiplantae; Streptophyta; Magnoliopsida; Brassicales; Brassicaceae
Description: long non-coding RNA (BRAP_LNC000462)
Source: RNAcentral
AUCAAUUGGACAUGCAACCCUAAAUCAGCCACCAGUUAAAUAGGAAUAAACGAUUGGUUUAUCAGAAACAAAAAAAAAAUACAAAUAUUAGACGAGAUUGUACCUACGAUUCAGAAUCGAAGAACAGUUGUUGGGUUUUAGAGAUUCUGGAAAACCAUUACGACGAGAUAGAAAUAGGAGAUUAAUUUUUUAGAGUCAGACCAAUCGGGAAAAUAAUUGAGACGAAGAGAUAG